GGUGAGUAACACGUGGGUAACCUACCUAUAAGACUCGGGAUAACUUCGGGAAACCGGAGCUAAUACCGGAUAAUAUUUCGAACCGCAUGGUUCGAUAGUGAAAGAUGGCUUUGCUAUCACUUAUAGAUGGACCUGCGCCAUAUUAGCUAGUUGGUAAG
RNAcentral lists this ribosomal RNA (158 nucleotides) under Staphylococcus hominis. RNAcentral's name for it is "partial 16S ribosomal RNA". It matches the Rfam family "Bacterial small subunit ribosomal RNA", at positions 105 to 256 of the family's 1533-position model. Lineage: Bacteria; Bacillati; Bacillota; Bacilli; Caryophanales; Staphylococcaceae. The record is from RNAcentral.